Molecule: unclassified non-coding RNA, 355 nt
Filed under: Viola bubanii
Lineage: Eukaryota; Viridiplantae; Streptophyta; Magnoliopsida; Malpighiales; Violaceae
Description: partial contains external transcribed spacer and 18S ribosomal RNA
Source: RNAcentral
ACCGUCUAUCGCGGAAUCCAAACGUUGUUGCUGCCCCUUCUUAUCCCUUGCCUCUACCUAGGCUCGGGCUGGACCCUGAUGCGGUUCGAGUGCCCCAAGCACGCCCACUCGGCUGCUAUGGAUCACUCGUUCCCGCUCGUGCAUUCGGAUGCCGAACGCUAAGCGAUGCCGGGGCGCGCCCAGCAGCCACCGCAUGACCCUAAACAACGAGCGAAACUUCGCUCCCCGAGAAUGACCACCGCCGCGCUGGCUCUUCCAUCCAACCGUUCGCUCGGCGAUGGGAGCUAGCACGCCGCGGUGCCUUCAAGGGCCGCUACCUGGUUGAUCCUGCCAGUAGUCAUAUGCUUGUCUCAAA